Molecule: ribosomal RNA, 253 nt
Filed under: uncultured Spirochaeta sp.
Lineage: Bacteria; Pseudomonadati; Spirochaetota; Spirochaetia; Spirochaetales; Spirochaetaceae
Description: partial 16S ribosomal RNA
Rfam family: Bacterial small subunit ribosomal RNA
Source: RNAcentral
GACGUAUGGGGCGAGCGUUGUUCGGAAUUAUUGGGCGUAAAGGGCAUGCAGGCGGUUUCGUAAGUCUGGUGUGAAAGACCCACGCUUAACGUGGGGGACGCAUGGGAAACUGCGAGACUUGAGUACAGGAAGGGGAGCUGGAAUUCCAGGUGUAGGGGUGAAAUCUGUAGAUAUCUGGAAGAACAUCAGUGGCGAAGGCGAGCUCCUGGCCAUGUACUGACGCUGAGAUGCGAAAGCGUGGGGAGCAAACAGG